Non-coding RNA from Suillus cothurnatus, 81 nucleotides. NCBI's taxonomy places the organism in Eukaryota, Fungi, Basidiomycota, Agaricomycetes, Boletales, Suillaceae. The record is from the annotation of a GenBank genome assembly.
UUGUCUUAGUCAAGUGGUCAUCACAACAGACUUCAAAUCUGUUUCUCAUGGACUGUGCAAGUUCGAAACUUGUUGAACAAC